Molecule: long non-coding RNA, 1412 nt
Filed under: Homo sapiens (human)
Lineage: Eukaryota; Metazoa; Chordata; Mammalia; Primates; Hominidae
Description: HSALNT0147082
Source: RNAcentral
GUAAGAGGUUAUGGAGAAUAAUGUAUCAUUUCCCAAAACUUAUUUGCAUAGCAUAUUUGUUGUUAAAAAAAAAAAAAGUAAUAGACUUAUCUUAUCUAAGAGGCUUCCUAGCUGGAGUGAAAGUUGCCUCUGGAUCAAGAUCUUCCUGUUUGGAAGAACCACCAAAGUCUGCAGCUUAGCUUGCCUUGGGUCUCACUCCCAGCCACUCCCUAAAUCUGGACUUGACAUCAGUUUCCAGCUUUUAGUUCUUGCCGAUCACCUGGUUUAUCAAAGCUUGCAGGGUCUGUGACUUGCCGCUUUGUUUUUCUAUUACAGCAUUUAUAGCUUCCUGGAGUCUGCUUUGAGCAACUGCUUUCCCUUGCCUUACCUUCCAAUACUCAAGCUCUUCAGCAACCUCACUGAGGCUGCCUGCCUGCAGAUGAAGAAACCAAGGCACAGACUCAUGUCCAGGACCCUAAAACCAGUGCAUGGUGGAGCCAGCAUUCAAACCCAGCACACGGGACGCCAGAGUCCAUGCUCCUAACCACUACAUUGUGAUGCCUUGAAACUCAUGGCAGAGAAGAGUUUGAGAGAAAGGUUUCAGAAAGACAAAAGUAGAAAUCCUGAAAGACUCUGAGCAUAAAGUUAAUGCUGCAGCAAUAGAUUUAGAAAAAUGAUGCAUGAUGAUCUAAGUGGAAGGUGUGACAUACCCCCAAAGAAAUGCUGAAUUCCCCAGGUAGGGUGGGGAUCCAAACAAAGGGAGACUUGUGCCUCAUUUCCUUAGUGGAACCGAAGGAGCAACAAGCCUCCCCUUGCUCUCUCUCUAUACCUCCACCAGUCACAGGCAGAGAAAGUAAAGGUGGGGCCUGCUGAGCACGUCAGAGCAGAAUGGGCAUGGCAUAGCUCCGUCAAGUCUCCCAGAGCUCCAGAGCAGCACAAAAAGGCAUCCAAAUAUUUCCUGUGCUUCCCUGUCCUCUCACCUCAAGAGGGAUGCAAAAGACAAGGCUGGAGUGACCUCAAGCAGUCUAGCAGUCUUGAAAGUUGUAUGAACUGGAAACACAAGUCCAGAGGAGAACAAGGCCAUCUUGAGGAUACCAGCAAGGAUAGAUCACUAUGCCCGGAAGCCAAUAGGAGCCAUCACAAAUAAACAAGAAUUUCUGAGGACAAAGGUCCCCCUCUUGAUAGACAUCAAAGUAUGAUGACUUAAGGCCCCAGAACUUAGAGGCAACUCAGGGAGAAAAUGGUGGGGGAAAAAAAACUCCGGAACAGACUUAAUAAAUAAUUGACCAAAGGUAGCCUGAGUUGAAUAUGAUUGAAAUUAAGUUCAGUUACAGAAUAAUGUUAUAUUUGUUUUUUGCACAGAGGAUUUUGCAGCCUGAGACUUUUACCUGCUUGGCUAUAAAGAAAUAAAACUUGUUUACCUUUGCAAACAG